RNAcentral lists this non-coding RNA (26 nucleotides) under Homo sapiens (human). The record is from RNAcentral. Lineage: Eukaryota; Metazoa; Chordata; Mammalia; Primates; Hominidae.
UGCUCUUGCGUAAAGAUGACCGAUGG